This is a long non-coding RNA of Branchiostoma floridae (Florida lancelet), 294 nucleotides long. RefSeq lists it as uncharacterized. The record is from RefSeq and is a predicted model, not a curated record. Lineage: Eukaryota; Metazoa; Chordata; Leptocardii; Amphioxiformes; Branchiostomatidae. The transcript is spliced from 3 exons.
GCCGGUGACGGUGUUGGUGCUGUUGGGUUGGAGCAGCCAACAUCAGCUGCUGAAGAGAAGUCAGAGAUGUGCAGGAAGGCAAUCGAAAGAUUGGGAUCUGAAACCGGUAGAGCCCAGACACCGCAGCGAGUAGAAUUGAUCUCUGAGUUAUCAUCGCUUGUCAUUACGUCAUGCCCCAACAUUCCACAGGAAAAUGCCUUCAAGAACACAGCACUAGACGUUCUGCAGUCCAUCACCAGAAAACUGGGCAAACUGGACAUGUCUGACCCGUCCACUGCCGAAUCUGUGGGAGGU